Molecule: ribosomal RNA, 420 nt
Filed under: uncultured bacterium
Lineage: Bacteria
Description: bacterial SSU rRNA
Rfam family: Bacterial small subunit ribosomal RNA
Source: RNAcentral
GAGGAAUAUUGCGCAAUGGAGGCAACUCUGACGCAGCCAUGCCGCGUGCAGGAAGAAGGCGCUACGCGUUGUAAACUGCUUUUAUCCGGGAAGAAACCCCAGGACGUGUCCUGGGUUGACGGUACCGGAGGAAUAAGCACCGGCUAACUUCGUGCCAGCAGCCGCGGUAAUACGAAGGGUGCAAGUGUUAUCCGGAUUCAUUGGGUUUAAAGGGUGCGUAGGCGGAACAAUAAGUCAGCGGUGAAAGCCCGUAGCUUAACUACGGAAUUGCCGUUGAUACUGUUGUUCUUGAGUACGCUUGACGUGGGCGGAAUGUGCCGUGUAGCGGUGAAAUGCUUAGAUAUGGCACAGAACACCGAUAGUGAAGACAGCUCACGAAGGCGAAACUGACGCUGAGGCACGAAAGCGUGGGGAUCAAAC